GAUGAAUCGCACUUUGGCAAAUGUGCUUUUUAUGUGCGCUGAAAAAAAGAGGAGGAAGCGAAAGAGGAGAAUAUGGACACGGUCAUGGCUAGGAAAAAGAGGCCAACUUAGCAUGGCAAUUUUGUAAAUGGAGCUUGAGGUAAGUAGUUUAAGUUUUAAGCGUAGUUUUGCGUUUUUGUCGUGUUGAUCAAUACACCACUUCAUGUUGCAGUUUAAUUGGCUAUUCAGCAGACCGUAGUAGCAGCAAAAACAUUUAGAGAUGAUCAUGCUAAAUUUCUGACACUGUCACAAAAUUAUCGCAGGCUAUCUUUCCUCGCAAGACAAUGACGAAGGCCGUCUUUGGACCUCUCUCACUGUACAACAUAGGACCACCAUUUCAGAGUCACGAAAUCACCACGAUUGGUCAUCUUUUGUCUGGGACAGCCCAAAAUCAUACAAUGUGUACCAAGCAUUACAGUUGAAGGUUGAGAAUCGUUAGGGGUAAGGAUUGGUAUUGAAAGGUUCAAAAAGUGGUUAGGGCCGAAGGUUAGAAUCCAGAAAUUCGGGUUAGGGUUAGUUUAAAAGUCAAGUUUAGAAAUAGAGAUUUGAGUUUAGAGUUUAAAUUUAAUGUUACAGGUUAGGGUUACUUAUGAAUAGGAGGUAGGGCCAUGGGUUAGGAUCAGGGUUGGGGUCAGAUGUAUGGUUAAGGGUUAGAAGUAGGGAUUCAAUGGAGAAAUUAGAUGAGUUUUAGGCAGAGGUGCUCAUUCCUGUACCUUAAGAUCGACCUUUCUAUUGAGUUCCAACCUUGCUCCAAUACACCUGUUUGCGAUUAUCAAGUGUUCCUGAAGAUCGUAAUUAGUUGUUUCAGGUAUAAUUGAAUAGGAUUGGAGGGAAACUUUGCAGGAAGAUAGAUUCCAGGAAGAGGAAUGAGUACCCCAGGUUUUAAAAUGUUGAUGGAGCACAUUCAAACUGGCAAAUUAACAGUCACCUUGAAUAAUGUUCAAUGCAACUCUGAAUGACACCACAUUAUUUUAUUUUGUAUAGUUAUGAUAUAAAGGCUGUUAAUGAGAUCCUUUGUUUAUUAUGUCAUUGUUUACGUGCAACGCGAAUAACAGUAUGCAUACAAGAAUUGUACAAAACAUGUAUGUAACCUAGAUUUGGAUCACACUUUUCUGUAAUAAAAUAUUGAUUGUAUCUUUUAAAUUAAAUAGCUGAUGUAUUCUUUGACUUCAU
This is a long non-coding RNA of Rhinichthys klamathensis goyatoka, 1212 nucleotides long. RefSeq lists it as uncharacterized. Lineage: Eukaryota; Metazoa; Chordata; Actinopteri; Cypriniformes; Leuciscidae. The transcript has 2 exons. The record is from RefSeq and is a predicted model, not a curated record.